RNAcentral lists this long non-coding RNA (1247 nucleotides) under Monodelphis domestica (gray short-tailed opossum). RNAcentral describes it as "lncRNA (ENSMODG00000051334.1)". Lineage: Eukaryota; Metazoa; Chordata; Mammalia; Didelphimorphia; Didelphidae. The record is from RNAcentral.
AAAAUGAGGAGAAGAGAAUAUAUGGAAGGUUACCUGAGAUUCACAAAAUUAUAACAAUAUUGGAUGAAUGCCUUUUUAGGAAAGAUAGAAAGGGCAGUGGAGAAAAACAAUCCAAUAUGGAGGACAAAGCAUACUCAAGCACAGGGUUUGAGUUUUACUCUAGCUACAAGGAAAUUGGUCAGGUGAUUUCUCCAUUUUUUACUGAUACAUGAGUUGUGAAAAAUGAUUGAAAUCUUGUACCUGCCUGUGUCACAAGUCUAUUUUGUGGUUUCAUUGUUAUUGUAUGUGAAAAUCUUCCUAAAUUCAUUCAUCUUGCAGAUAUGACCAAAUGGUGUAUCCAAAGACUGGUCCUGUUUAUUUAAGUAUAAAAACUUUUUUUUGCUUGGAGAAAUAGAAUAAAAAUUGGUUUGCUUUCUGUCAUCAGAGGAAAUAAUUUAUAUUGCUUUAUGUGUGUGUAUGUACUCCUUCCUUCUAUGUUUAUAUCAUAAUUUGUUUUCUUCAGAAGCAGAGGCUAAUUUUGAUUUGAAGGAGAAGUCUACAAAGCUGAGACAUUUUGUGGAAGGAUCUGGCCCCCAAAGAUGCGUGAAUAAGGAUCCCCAUGAUAUCAUUAUGAGAGAAAUCUGUGACUCUGAUAUCAAGAUAAAUGAAAAUAUAAAGGGUGACUGUGAAUUUGAUGGCACUGCAGAGAAAUUCAGUCAAUGUUCAGUCCUAAAUCAGUAUAUGAAAGUGUCCUCAGGAAAUGACUGUUGUCAAGAGAAUCAAUACGGCCAAUGCUUUCCUGAAGAAGUAGGACUUGGUCAGUUAAAUGAGAAAACUCCUGAAAAGCCCAUAUAUCAAGUUCAUUGUCUUAUUCACAUAAAAUGAGGACUAACCCCUGCUGCCCUAGGAAGAGUUGGGAGACCUCAGGGCCUACACUUAAAUCCUGGAAGGGAAACAUGGAUGGAAUCAAGAAGAUCCAAGGUAGAAUUGCCCCUGAGACACUUGGUGGCUGUGUGAUGCUAAAGAAGUCUUGGCAGCUUCUGCUAUUUACCCUAUUAGCUGUGAGUUCUCUAUUUUGGUUCCUUUUAUCCUUUUAUCUGUAUAAUUGAAAAUAUGUUACCCUAAAAAACAUUUCCAGAGAACCCACUGACUUUCUGUCAUUAUGUACUUCCUGUACAUAGGGGAUAUUAGGCGGGGACGUGGAGAAACUCGUCCUCUUUUUGGCCCUGUCAGUGAGCAUGGAGGUGGUGAGUGGGGAUUUUUAAAUG